This is a non-coding RNA of Nicotiana tabacum (common tobacco), 646 nucleotides long. Lineage: Eukaryota; Viridiplantae; Streptophyta; Magnoliopsida; Solanales; Solanaceae. The record is from RefSeq and is a predicted model, not a curated record.
UGGAUAUAAUUAAAUACUAGUUAAGUCAAAAAAAAAAGGCAAUAAAAUUAAAAAAAGGGAGUCACGUGACUAACCCAUAAAGUGGGUAUUGAAAGGAAAACAAAGGGCUUAAUGCCUUAAAGAAAACAAAAAGCAUUUUGUUUCUCACACACACACAAAAGGCAUCAAACAAACCUCUGUUCAUUCACAGGCGAAAGGCUAAAAAGCCUAAUUCAAAAUAGAGAAACAAAACAUUGUUCUGUUCACGCAGCAAGCACAAAGGCUACGGAACUUUCACAUGCAGGCAACGAAAAUUCUAGGGUUCUUUACAAAUCACUAAUUCUUGAACUCGGGUAUAUAAAAUUCCCUAUUGUCAGUUAUCCUAAAGUAGUGGUAGAAUUAAUUAUUUGACGGGUAUAAAUUGGACUGGGGCAUGUGUAUUGGCUCAAGGAGUUUUGAGGUGAGUUGAUAUAACCCUUUACUAAAGUGGUUUAACUCACAAAAGCACGCAUACAAGGUUUUUUUCUAUAACUAGAAAGACCUUCCAAGGGAUGCUAGAGGUUGCUCAAGGAUGGAUCAAAUCCAGAUGCCUAAUUUUAGGAUCAAGAGACAAAGGAAAGGGAAUUUCUUUCUACAGGUGAGGCACUAUCUCAUCCAGGAUGGCGAC